CAGAACGAACGUUAGCGGCGCGCCUAAGGCAUGCAAGUCGAGCGAGAAAGGGCUUCGGCCCCAAUAAAGCGGCGCACGGGUGAGUAACACGUAGGUCAUCAACCCUCGAGUGGUGGACAACCCUCCGAAAGGAGGGCUAAUACAGCAUGACGCCAGCAAUGGCCAAAGCGGGCCUCUCCAUGGAAGCUCGCGCUUGAGGAUGAGCCUGCGGCCCAUCAGCUAGUUGGUGGGGUAAUGGCCCACCAGGCUAAGACGGUAGCUGGUCUGAGA
This 270-nucleotide ribosomal RNA is filed under the name uncultured soil bacterium. Its description in RNAcentral is "partial 16S ribosomal RNA". It matches the Rfam family "Bacterial small subunit ribosomal RNA", at positions 25 to 297 of the family's 1533-position model. The record is from RNAcentral.